Molecule: long non-coding RNA, 1116 nt
Organism: Gopherus evgoodei (Goodes thornscrub tortoise)
Lineage: Eukaryota; Metazoa; Chordata; Testudines; Testudinidae
Exons: 3
Source: RefSeq, a predicted model, not a curated record
GGUUUGCGCCGGGGGAAGUGGGCGCUAGGCCCCGGCUGUGCUCGGCGCUGCACAGAACAAGGAGACCCCCCCCGGCCGGCGGCUCCGGGUCCCGGGGACCCCCCCGAUCCAGGGCUCAGCUCCGCUCUGUAUGACCCGUAGCUAAAUCGCUGUUCUCACACACCCGUCAGAGCUUCCAGCAUUGCCGCAGCAGCCCCACUGCGGAGCGGCUCGUGCCGGGGCUGGACCCAGCGAUCUCCGGGUCAUCGAGCCGAGCGGGCUGCCGGAGACACCUGCCGUCACCGCGGACCUAGAUCAGCCCUGAGAGCACGUCUCCCCUCUGCUGCAGCAGGAUGGCUGACGUCCCUGCAGGGUGCCCUCGGCAUGGAGUUCCCGUGACAACGAGAUGCAGCUUUCCAGGGCCACAGAUUCCUUGCAAGAUGAGGGGGCAGGGAUCACUCACCCUGCUGCUGAAAUGCAGCCACCUCUGGGGUGGGAUGCACCAGAGAGGAUGUUGCCGCAAACCCUGCUGCAUGGAUGCUCAACUCCCAGGAAGCAGACAGGGCUCAAGGAAUGUGAGAGCAGCAUCUGUCACCAGUUCACAGCGGCGAACACUUUUGUCUGGCUCUCGGGACCCUGGCAUGAGCUGAGGGAGACCGGACGGACGGCAGCUGCAAUUCUGCCAUCAGCAGCCAGACAGCCAGGAAAACAGGAAUGAAUGGAUUGGGGGGGGGGGGGAAGAGGAGGUGCAAUAAAAGCCCUGACCACUGGGUGGUGCCCUCGUUCUGUACACAGGCCAGCCAGAGAUAAUGGGGGGGGGUGCGAUACCCCCCACCAGCCACUGCCCUUGCUGCAGGCCUUAAACAGCCUGAAGAGGGGGAGUUGCAAUACAAGCUCUGGCCACUGGGGGGCACCCGUGGUGUGCAAUGUUGAGCUGGGAAUUCACGGCUAGGAGAGGUGUGAUUAUUCCCCCCCCCCCCCCCAUGGCUCCCAUCCCCUACAGGGGAUCCCAGUACAGCACACAGCCCCCUCCACACAGGUGUCCGUUAGAGCCACAUUCAUCUCAAACCCCUUGUGACAGUGUACCCCGUGAGGCUUUAUGGGGGGUGCUUAUAAAGGUAUAUGAUGUAACUGGAA